RNAcentral lists this transfer RNA (71 nucleotides) under Microplitis demolitor. RNAcentral's name for it is "tRNA-His". Lineage: Eukaryota; Metazoa; Arthropoda; Insecta; Hymenoptera; Braconidae. The record is from RNAcentral.
AUUUAAAUAGUUUAAAAAACAUUGAUUUGUGGAAUCAAAAUUAUUAAUAUUUAUUAAUUUAAUUUUAAAUU